This 69-nucleotide transfer RNA is filed under the name Pheidole flavigaster. RNAcentral describes it as "tRNA-Gln". It matches the Rfam family "tRNA". From Rfam's summary of the family: Transfer RNA (tRNA) molecules are approximately 80 nucleotides in length. Their secondary structure includes four short double-helical elements and three loops (D, anti-codon, and T loops). The record is from RNAcentral. Lineage: Eukaryota; Metazoa; Arthropoda; Insecta; Hymenoptera; Formicidae.
UAUGUUUUAGUGUAAGAAGCAUAUAAAUUUUUGAAGUUUAAUGAAAUAGUUUGAUUCUAUUAAGCAUAA